ACAGAUUCUUAUUCUUGCAAUAUGGAGAGCUCUCAAUCCAAACGGUCUGCUUCUUUUUCUGAACAAACGUCAUAACCACUUUCUAAAAAGGAUAUGGAAGAAUUGCAAUCUACUUUGCCUCUUGAUAAGAAGCUAAAAGCGGGGCGGGAGUAUAUAUGGAACAGAAAAAGUAAGAGGAAAGCUGAGUAUUGGAAAUAUUACUUAGAGUACGUCGAGAAUGGAAAACUACGAGCUGAAUCUAAUAAAGGUUUAGGAGAAAUUGCUUCUAUAUAUGAUAUGUUGAAUAAUUGGGAACAAAGUGAGGACUUGAAUUUUCAAGCUAUGGCCAUUGCAAUGAAAAAAAAGUUUGAUA
Chenopodium quinoa (quinoa) is the source of this 352-nucleotide long non-coding RNA. RefSeq lists it as uncharacterized. The record is from RefSeq and is a predicted model, not a curated record. The transcript has 3 exons. Lineage: Eukaryota; Viridiplantae; Streptophyta; Magnoliopsida; Caryophyllales; Amaranthaceae.